This 497-nucleotide ribosomal RNA is filed under the name uncultured bacterium. Its description in RNAcentral is "partial 16S ribosomal RNA". It matches the Rfam family "Bacterial small subunit ribosomal RNA", at positions 28 to 507 of the family's 1533-position model. The record is from RNAcentral.
GAUGAACGCUGGCGGCGUGCCUAAUACAUGCAAGUCGAGCGAACAGAUGAGGAGCUUGCUCCUCUGACGUUAGCGGCGGACGGGUGAGUAACACGUGGAUAACCUACCUAUAAGACUGGGAUAACUUCGGGAAACCGUAGCUAAUACCGGAUAAUAUAUUGAACCGCAUGGUUCAUUAGUGAAAGGCGGUUUUGCUGUCACUUAUAGAUGGAUCCGCGCCGCAUUAGCUAGUUGGUAAGGUAACGGCUUACCAAGGCAACGAUGCGUAGCCGACCUGAGAGGGUGAUCGGCCACACUGGAACUGAGACACGGUCCAGACUCCUACGGGAGGCAGCAGUAGGGAAUCUUCGGCAAUGGGCGAAAGCCUGACGGAGCAACGCCGCGUGAGUGAUGAAGGUCUUCGGAUCGUAAAACUCUGUUAUAAGGGAAGAACAAAUGUGUAAGUAAAUAUGCACGUCUUGACGGUACCUAAUCAGAAAGCCACGGCUAACUACGUG